GAAGGAUAAGUCAGUGGUGAAUCAUGCGGCUUAACCGUAAAAUUGCCAUUGAUACUGUUUUUCUUGAGUGUGGUUGAGGUAGACGGAAUGAGUAAUGUANCGGUGANAUGCUUAGAUAUUACUCAGAACACCGAUUGCGUAGGCAGCUUACUAAGCCAUUACUGACGCUGAUGCACGAAAGCGUGGGUAGCAAACAGGAUUAGAUACCCUGGUAGUCCACGCAGUAAACGUUGAUUACUCGUUGUUGGCAAUACAUCGUCAGCGACUGAGCAAAAGCAUUAAGUAAUCCACCUGGGGAGUACGUCAGCAAUGAUGAAACUCAAAGGAAUUGACGGGGGCCCGCACAAGCGGAGGAACAUGUGGUUUAAUUCGAUGAUACGCGAGGAACCUUACCUGGGCUUAAAUGUUAAGUGCUAUACCGGGAGACCGGUUUUUCCUUCGGGACACUUUACAAGGUGCUGCAUGGUUGUCGUCAGCUCGUGCCGUGAGGUGUCGGGUUAAGUCCCACAACGAGCGCAACCCCUAUUGCCAGUUGCCAGCACAUCAUGGUGGGAACUCUGGUAAAACUGCCGGUGCAAACCGCGAGGAAGGUGGGGAUGACGUCAAAUCAGCACGGCCAUUAUGUCCAGGGCUACACACGUGUUACAAUGGUCGGUACAACAGGAAGCUAUUCCGCGAGGAACCGCUAAUCCCGAAAGCCGAUCUUAGUUCGGAUCGGAGUCUGCAAUUCGACUCCGUGAAGCUGGAUUCGCUAGUAAUCGCAGAUCAGCCAUGCUGCGGUGAAUAUGUUCCCGGGCAUUGUACACACCGCCCG
Molecule: ribosomal RNA, 814 nt
Filed under: uncultured organism
Description: bacterial SSU rRNA
Rfam family: Bacterial small subunit ribosomal RNA
Source: RNAcentral